Cyprinus carpio carpio is the source of this 1027-nucleotide long non-coding RNA. Lineage: Eukaryota; Metazoa; Chordata; Actinopteri; Cypriniformes; Cyprinidae. The record is from Ensembl.
GACUUCUAUAAGCAGACUGAUAACAGAUAUCUUGCUCAAUGCUUAUGUAAACUUUCCAACACCAUAGACACAUCAGCUUUUAGGCUAUAAUUUAUAUUCAUGAUUUUCCCCCAACCUCAAAAUUUUCAUCAUUUUACUACCAUUUAAGUGUUUGCCAGCACUGGAGGAACAUUGCUUUUCAAAGAUGCGGUUCAUUUUAUUAUUGUGUGCACUUGUUAAAGCUUUCCAUGCAGACUUCUCGGAAAUAGGAUCUGGCGCUCCGGACUCAGAGGGGUUUGACACACAUCUGAAUCUCUUCACACAAAGAGUGGAUUUACUUGAGCAGCUCUCAGGCUUAGUACCAACCAGCAGGAACGUGACCUUUUAUGAGGACGACCGGGGAUGUCCAGUGCUGGACAUUGGCCUGUAUUCCACACUUACUAUGCCCACCCAGGAAGCAUUUGGAUCAAGCUUUGCAGAUGAAUUCAGUGUACUGAUUCAGUUGCAGAGCUCACAGGAAGAGGACCGGAGUGUGUUGACUUUGCUGAACUUCUAUAAUCACAUUUUACUCCAGAUCCGUAUAGGUCCACACAGCAUCACCUUCAUCACCACACAGCACCGUGACUAUGAGUUUUCAGUGUCAGGACUGUCUGACUCGCAGUGGCACUGGAUCUCGGUUGGGGUUGCAUUUGAAUGGCUGGCUGUCUAUGUGGACUGUGUGCUGGUGGAGAAAGUGAGCUGGAUGUACCCGUACAUGAGUAUCACUACAGAUGGCUUGCUGAUGGUGGGGGGAAUCCUGGAGGGAUUUGAGACACCUUUUGAGGGAGAGUUGAGACAGAUGACCUUCAUAAUGGGAGAUGCAAAUGCAGCCAAGGAUCAUUGUGUUCUUCAUCAGCACUUGUGUGAACCAAUGAAAGGACGCAGCUUUCUAAAGACAGAAAGUAGCACUGAGGUUGAUUUUUGAAGUGUGGAUCCUUGCACACUCUUUGAUGGCUAAUAUUACCCACAACUCAUUGCGCUUUGGUGAAGGAUUCAGUUUGGAACUACG